RNAcentral lists this ribosomal RNA (253 nucleotides) under uncultured bacterium. RNAcentral describes it as "partial 16S ribosomal RNA". It matches the Rfam family "Bacterial small subunit ribosomal RNA", at positions 524 to 776 of the family's 1533-position model. The record is from RNAcentral.
UACGGAGGGUGCAAGCGUUAUCCGGAUUCACUGGGUUUAAAGGGUGCGUAGGUGGGCAGGUAAGUCAGUGGUGAAAUCUCCGGGCUUAACUCGGAAACUGCCAUUGAUACUAUCUGUCUUGAAUACCGUGGAGGUCAGCGGAAUAUGUCGUGUAGCGGUGAAAUGCUUAGAUAUGACAUAGAACACCAAUUGCGAAGGCAGCUGGCUACACGAAUAUUGACACUGAUGCACGAAAGCGUGGGGAUCAAACAGG